This 1361-nucleotide ribosomal RNA is filed under the name uncultured bacterium. RNAcentral's name for it is "bacterial SSU rRNA". It matches the Rfam family "Bacterial small subunit ribosomal RNA". The record is from RNAcentral.
AGAGUUUGAUCCUGGCUCAGGAUGAACGCUGGCGGCGCGCCUAACACAUGCAAGUCGAACGGCACCCCUCUCCGGAGGGAAGCGAGUGGCGAACGGCUGAGUAACACGUGGAGAACCUGCCCCCUCCCCCGGGAUAGCCGCCCGAAAGGACGGGUAAUACCGGAUACCCCGGGGGGGCGUAUGGCACCCCGGCUAAAGCCCCGACGGGAGGGGAUGGCUCCGCGGCCCAUCAGGUAGACGGCGGGGUGACGGCCCACCGUGCCGACAACGGGUAGCCGGGUUGAGAGACCGACCGGCCAGAUUGGGACUGAGACACGGCCCAGACUCCUACGGGAGGCAGCAGUGGGGAAUCUUGCGCAAUGGGGGGAACCCUGACGCAGCGACGCCGCGUGCGGGACGGAGGCCUUCGGGUCGUAAACCGCUUUCAGCAGGGAAGAGUCAAGACUGUACCUGCAGAAGAAGCCCCGGCUAACUACGUGCCAGCAGCCGCGGUAAUACGUAGGGGGCGAGCGUUAUCCGGAUUCAUUGGGCGUAAAGCGCGCGUAGGCGGCCCGGCAGGCCGGGGGUCGAAGCGGGGGGCUCAACCCCCCGAAGCCCCCGGAACCUCCGCGGCUUGGGUCCGGUAGGGGAGGGUGGAACACCCGGUGUAGCGGUGGAAUGCGCAGAUAUCGGGUGGAACACCGGUGGCGAAGGCGGCCCUCUGGGCCGAGACCGACGCUGAGGCGCGAAAGCUGGGGGAGCGAACAGGAUUAGAUACCCUGGUAGUCCCAGCCGUAAACGAUGGACGCUAGGUGUGGGGGGACGAUCCCCCCGUGCCGCAGCCAACGCAUUAAGCGUCCCGCCUGGGGAGUACGGCCGCAAGGCUAAAACUCAAAGGAAUUGACGGGGGCCCGCACAAGCAGUGGAGUAUGUGGUUUAAUUCGAAGCAACGCGAAGAACCUUACCAGGUCUUGACAUCGAGUGACGAACUUAGAGAUAAGUUCUUCCUUCGGGACACGAAGACAGGUGGUGCAUGGUUGUCGUCAGCUCGUGUCGUGAGAUGUUGGGUUAAGUCCCGCAACGAGCGCAACCCUUAUCAUUAGUUGCUACGCAAGAGCACUCUAAUGAGACUGCCGUUGAUAAAACGGAGGAAGGUGGGGAUGACGUCAAAUCAUCAUGCCCCUUAUGACCUGGGCUACACACGUACUACAAUGGUGAUCAAACAGAGGGAAGCAACACAGCGAUGUGAAGCAGAACCCGAAAAAUCAUCUCAGUUCAGAUUGCAGGCUGCAACUCGCCUGCAUGAAGUCGGAAUUGCUAGUAAUCGCGGAUCAGCAUGCCGCGGUGAAUACGUUCCCGGGCCUUGCACUCACCGCCCGUCA